AGAACACAAACAUUCAGCCCAGAUAUGGAGAGGCAGCUGGGUAUUUACAUUACCCAACAGAGCAAAGAGGCUGCUGAGUGUGCUAAAUGCUCUCCAAAUGCCCAAGGGGCACCCUCAAGAUUUGAACAUGCAAACAGAGGAGCUUAAUCAUGGAUACUGAGAACCAGAAUGAUUCCAUUUAUAGCAGUAAAGUCCUGAAAGGCAAGCUGAGUAAUAUCCCGUUGUGUAUAUGUACGACAACUUGCUUAUCCAUUUGUCUGCUGAUGGACAUGCUUCCAUGUCCUGGCUACUGUAAACAGUGCUGCAGUGAACAUCGGGGUACAUGUGUCUUCCCUGU
Molecule: long non-coding RNA, 337 nt
Organism: Bos taurus (domestic cattle)
Lineage: Eukaryota; Metazoa; Chordata; Mammalia; Artiodactyla; Bovidae
Source: Ensembl